UGAAGAACUUCCUCAGCCCUGAAGGAGACCAAGCUGGGUUAGAGUGGCACUAUUCAUGCCUGCCUUAUUUAGAAAAUACAGUAACUGAACAAUAUGGAAAACAUUGGAGUUUUGGCCACAGGACUGGGGCAUUGUCCUGAAUGAGCGAGCCCACUGCUGAGCAUGCUAAGUGGCAGAUCCACUACAUCACUGAGCUGGUAGAUAUCUUCUCCUCUCCUAACUCGUCAACUUUGGGCCACACAAACCCCUGUGCAUGUGUAUGUCUACUUAGAGUGAAUUCAUUGUAAGGUGGGCUUCCAAGAGAAGCACCUUUCCUGCCUAGAAGUGUCCCUCUAGGGGAGGAACAGGGUGGGACUAACGGGAACCAAAAACCUUCGAGUACGUACUGUAAAGUCAUCUUGUUUUGUAAAUAUCUUCCUUGCUUACUCUCAUUAAACUCUGGAUGCUUAAUAUCCAA
Mus musculus (house mouse) is the source of this 457-nucleotide long non-coding RNA. RefSeq annotates it as predicted gene, 39085. The record is from RefSeq and is a predicted model, not a curated record. The transcript has 2 exons. Lineage: Eukaryota; Metazoa; Chordata; Mammalia; Rodentia; Muridae.